CCAAUGGCGUGCUCAGGGUCACAAAGCUCCUAAGUAUAUGAGAUGAGGAAUGACCCGCCCACACUCAGGUUUUCCCGCCUCCAAGUCCCACAUCACCACCGUACACUGACAAGAAUACCGGAUUUAAGUCAGAUGACCUGGGUUCAAAUCUCACCUCCGCCACUUACUAUCAUCAGUGGGACAUUGAGCAAGUCCUUUCGCCUCUUGAGGCCUUGGUCUCCUCAUCUAGAAGAGGAAGGGCUGGACUAGAUGUCUCUGAGGUUCUGUCCCACUCUAGAACCAUGACUUUAGGAUUCUUUCCUGUGUUGGGAUUUUGACCAAUAGAUCAUGGCAUCCUUUUCCAAGAGCCUCCUGUGAGAACUGGAUUUGAGUCGGAGGAAAGAGCACUGACUCCUCGUCAAAGGACCUGGGUUCAAAUCCAACCUCCCAAUACUUGAUCUUAGGUAAGUAGUUUAACCUUUCAGGCCCUCAGUUUCCUCAUUUUUCAAAAUAACAUUUUAUUGAUGUAUUUUAUUUCUUACAUAAUCAUAGUUAUCCCCAGGAUCCUUCCCCACCCCACCCCCAAGAGAACCAGCUUAUUUAAAUAACAAACAACUAUUUUUUAAAGAGGAAAAAAAAUGGGCACAACUGUUCAGUGCAUUGGAAAAGUCUGAAAACCUGUGCAACAUGCAGCAUCCUCAGAGCUCCCACCUUCACAGAGGAGGGGUUUGGAGUCCUCUGCUCUCUCCUACUUCAGUCCUGCUCCAGCGUCAGCACUUUACCACACUCACGGUGGAGUUUGGGUGGUUCUUUCCCUUUUCGUUGUAGUUACUGUGUGUUUUCUUGGCUCUGCGGACUUCACUGUGCAUCGGUUCCAUAUUUCUCGGUAUUUAUCACGUACAUAAUUUCUCACAGAACAAUGUUCUGUUACUUUCAUGUACCACAAUUUGUUUAGCCCUUCCUCAAUCAAUGGGCAUCUGCUUUGUUUCCAACUCUUUGUGAUCACAAAAAGGGCUGUGAUAACUGUUUUGGGAUGGGGAUAUUGAUGGCUUCCUUAGGGGAUGAGCCCAGUAAAUGGAGUCCCUGGUUCAAAAAGCAUGGCCAUUUCAUUUACUUGCAAAAUUCCAAAUUGCUAUCCAAAAUGGAUUACCAUUUCACAGCUCCAGCAACGUAUCAGUGUUAUGUGUCAUCCCACACCCCACCUCCAGCUGACUAUUACCAUCUUUUUAUCGUCUUUGCCAAUUUGCAGGGUGUGAUCGGUUUCCUCUUAUGUCAGAUGUGGGGAUCGAAUAGAGUCUGGCAGCUCUAAAUCCUGAAUGGGCACUGGCUGCUUCCCCUCUCCUGCAUCCAUGCACCCUUCUAGAUCCUCUAAGCUCAGCACCUCGGGGGACGGGGUCUGUGGGCUGAGCACCAGCCGCAGCUCAAGGCCGCGCUUUCGGCGGGGUACAGGGAGGGCCGGGGUCCAGCAUCUGACCUGGAGUUUCCGAUGGACCCCCGCCUCCUCCCUGGAGCAGAGCGGGGUGGAAGUGGGGGGAAGGGGCUAGAUCCGGGAAUGGGGGAGGGGAUGCGGUUUGGUGACUCAGGCCGCCCAGAGGCAGGGCGGGGACGAAGAGAACGAACUCCAGAUGUGCUUCCCUUCCCCCACAUCUGGCCAGGGAACGACCCAGCGUUUAGCUCCGGCCGCUCCUAUCCCUACCCCGAGGGCCGCCCCUGCCCCCCCCAAUCCCAGACCAUUCCCUCCCUCUCAGAGAGCGCCCCAGCCCCUCCUGUCCCGUCCAGCUCCCCUCCCCUUCUCCCCUAAACCGCCGGGGCUGCAGGAUGUUGGGGUGAGUCACGCUUCCUGAGCCCGCCCUGGGAGGCCCAGCCCGGGGACCGGCAGCCCCCCGCCUCACCCCGCUCCUGCCACCUCCCAGUGCGUCCAGCCCCCGGCCUCGGUACAGCCGGCCUGUCCGGGCACUGCCCUAGGCGCCGGUGGUGGGCGUGGGGCAGGGUUCAAGACAACCGCCUCCAGCUGCUAGUGCCUUCCUUAUUGAAGUCCGUCCUGGUGGCGCACAGUGGGUGCUUAAUAAAUGCGUGUUAACUGAAAAA
This is a non-coding RNA of Phascolarctos cinereus (koala), 2067 nucleotides long. NCBI's taxonomy places the organism in Eukaryota, Metazoa, Chordata, Mammalia, Diprotodontia, Phascolarctidae. The record is from RefSeq and is a predicted model, not a curated record.